Molecule: long non-coding RNA, 539 nt
Filed under: Medicago truncatula (barrel medic)
Lineage: Eukaryota; Viridiplantae; Streptophyta; Magnoliopsida; Fabales; Fabaceae
Description: lncRNA gene23356
Source: RNAcentral
UCUCUCUCUCUCUCUCGGUCCCCUCUCUUCUCUUCUUAUUCUAAUCCCUUCUCUUCUUUUCUUCUCUUCCUCUCUCUCUUCAGACCAUAACCCAGAUUCUCUCUUGCUCAAUUUCUCUCACCGUUAACAAUGCGGUGGUGGUGAUGGACGAUUUGAGAAGACGACGGUGAUGACGACAUGAUGGUGGUGGUGGUGGGGUUGUGAGAUGAUGAUGAGUUCUCCAUAGAAAUCUUUCUCUGAAUCAACAUCUCUCUCAGAUCAGAUGUGAACUUACUUUCCUUCUUUCUCCUUUUUCUAUGGGUUUCCUUCUUCCAUCUAAAUUCCAUUGAAGGGAUUUACAGCUAUACAUUCCAUUUAAUUUUUACUGCAGAUUUUGAUAGUGAAAUUUGAGUGAUGAUAUUGUUCUGUGCAUUUGAAAAGUUCUUGCAAAUGGGUUUGUUGUUGUUGAGUUGGAUUUCCAGAAGAAUGGAUUUUAGAUUUUGUUAAUGAAUUUUGUUUUUGUUGAUGGAGAUAAUUUGAUGAUGAAUGUAAAGAAUACA